UCCCAGACACAGGGGUGCACGCCGUGGUGCUACGUUCAAAACAAGGGGGGUCACACCGCAUCCUCCCGAAGCCAUCCGCUGCUCCCACCAGCACUCGCAGGAGCGGCGAAGACCACCCGCACCACGCAGAGCUGCCGCCCCCAGUUCCCAGUCCCCCUGGGUGUGGCACUGGUGGGGACUGGGGAGCAGCAAGCCAGCAGAGCCAGGACAGGGCCAGGAUUCCCGCUCCUGCGUGGCCCCGCACCAGACCGCAAGGGACAGAAGCAGAACCCAAAGGGGACACCGGACCAAAGGCUUUGCCACAGGGCAAAGUAUAAAGCCGGUGCCACCGAGGAAGGAGAAACAAUACCCCAGAGGAGCAUCAGCUGUUAUUCGUGAGGACAAGCCAGCAGGCACCUUGGCAAACCAGGCUGUCCCGGCACACUGGAGAACCCUGCAGUCCAGCAGGGACCAUGAAGGAGGAACACAAAUGAAGAAAUAGAGGGCUAACUUGGGCUGCAGUCUGCAAGCUCCCACUCCCAUGCCUGGUCUUUCAUCUGGAGCAAAGGGUUGUCCAAAUUAGCCUUUAAAUUACACACCAUAGCCAGGAAACAUUUGCGUUGCACAGUGCUAAGUCCAGAACCAGCACCCAAGCCCCAUCUCGCUCUGGAGCAUGCCUGGAAAUUCAACAUGAUGCUCUCCUGCAUCAGCAAUAAGUGUGAGGCUUGGGAUAACCCAAACCGAAAAGAAAGAGAGGGAUAUAGAAAACAAAGCGAAACAGACACCCUUGCCUUGAUCCGCAGGGGCUGGUGCCGUGCAGCUUUCUCCGGGACGUGGUUCAGGCGUCCGAGGUGAGGCCAGCAGGACGGGGAGUGAAUUGUACUGGCACUAUUGCACAACGCUGUUACCUUGAUACCACGUCGUGUAAAGAUUUUAAACUGCCUCUUUAUUAGUCAUCCUCUAUUCAUUUUAAUUGUGCCUGAUAAACAGGGCUAUUUCACCUUUGCAUUCUAUUGUACGCACUUAUCUUCCACGUGUAUAUCGCCGAGGAGACUUUCAAUCUUUAUUAUGGCGUAGGUAGGUGUAGAGGAAUGAACAGGCACUUCCCUCGCAGCCUGGCGGUGUUUUGGUGUCUUUGCAUGUUACAUUUUCAGAUCUCUGCUUUCCAUGCAUGGAGGUUUCUGUGGGUCCUUGAUCCCGGCGCUGAAAAUGUUUAGGCAGAGGCUUAGGUUAAUGCACAGAACCAGUGAGAAGGGACAGGCUGAUUUAAACAUGCACUUAAUUUUUCUCAGGAUCAAGUGCUGUAGGUGCGUGCUUAACACCACUGAAGUUACUUUGAUCUUCUCUGAAGACAGAAUUUCCUGCAGAUUAAGUUCUCGACUCUGAACGAUGGCAUUGGUUAUUUAACAAAAUCAAAGUUGGGAGAUGAAUAAUUAUUGAAAUUAAAGAAUAUAGCUGAAGUUUCUGGAAUGUUUUAGUCGCAUUUACUUGUAACAUGAAAAAUAUACUGCCCAAGAGUCCAUCAGUGUGAAAGUUUGUCCCUGCAGUUUCUUAUCUAACAGCUGAUGGCCCGAGCAUGUUUGUGAAUUCGGAAGUUUCACUAAAAACUCCUGGAAACAGCCGUGCAUGUUUCCUUCUGUGACAUUACAACCUUCCCCGUGCCCAAAGGCUGCCCUGUGCAGCGGGGAGCAGCAGUGCCACCUGUAAGACAACUGGGGUCAGGCUUUGUGGUCAGGUUUCUGCUGUGCCCUGUAGAAGUCACGGACGUUGCUGCUGCUCUUUGGGGUCUGUUUGCUCAGAGCUCACCUCGCUGCUUCAGGCAACACCCUGCAACCACGGGACUGCUCCUCCCGCUGGAGAUGCAUCUGUUCUCCAGGCUUAUAUAGUUUUGCCUUCAUCUUUUCACCCUCGGGUUUGCACCACAAUCACGUGAGAAGAGGGGUAAAAUCCCAUUCUCAUUUAGGUUCAGAAAAGGGAACGGAAACUCCAUUGAAGGCAGAGACAAAACCACAUUUACUCCAGUGUGAACAGGAUUUCCCCCUUGGUGUAAAAUCUUGCAUCCCUGUGAGCUGGAAGGAGCUCCUUGCUGUGCCACAGAGCAUCCUUGAGUGCCACUUUGAAUCUUUAUGCAACUGCUUAAAAGGAUUAGGGAUACAAAUGAGUUAAUCACCAUUUAGGUACAAAGUUCCAACUAAGCUUUUCAGGACCAACCAUUUUAAUUUCCAUCAUCCAGCUCCUUAUUUUACAGAAAAUACUUGCAGAUGGUUCUUGUAGAGGCAAGAGAGAGAUCUGGUGGGGUGUAUUUUCUUGUGCUAGAAUAGCAGCAUGGCCAGAAAACGAUCAGUGGGCCCAUCUGCAGGCAUGUGGAACACGUUCAUAUGUAUUUGGAAAGCUGA
This is a long non-coding RNA of Cygnus atratus (black swan), 2375 nucleotides long. RefSeq lists it as uncharacterized. NCBI's taxonomy places the organism in Eukaryota, Metazoa, Chordata, Aves, Anseriformes, Anatidae. The transcript is spliced from 3 exons. The record is from RefSeq and is a predicted model, not a curated record.